Molecule: ribosomal RNA, 539 nt
Filed under: uncultured bacterium
Lineage: Bacteria
Description: bacterial SSU rRNA
Rfam family: Bacterial small subunit ribosomal RNA
Source: RNAcentral
AGAGUUUGAUUCUGGCUCAGAACGAACGCUGGCGGCGUGGAUUAGGCAUGCAAGUCGAACGGGACUUUAUGUUGUAGCAAUACUUUAUAAAGUCUAGUGGCGUAAGGGUGAGUAACACGUGGGUAAUGUACCCGAUAGUUUGGGAUAACGUUCCGAAAGGGACGCUAAUACCGGAUGUGAUGUUAGACCGCCGGGUUUAACAAGAAAGGUGGGGACCGCAAGGCCUGCCGCUAACGGAACGGCCCGCGACCUAUUAGCUAGUUGGUGGGGUAAAGGCCUACCAAGGCGAGGAUGGGUAGCCGAACUGAGAGGUUGACCGGCCACACUGGGACUGAGACACUGCCCAGACUUCUACGGAAGGCUGCAGUCGAGAAUCAUUCACAAUGGACGAAAGUCUGAUGAUGCGACGCCGCGUGCGCGAUGAAGGUCUUCGGAUUGUAAAGCGCUUUGAACAGGGAAGAAUGCCGCGUAUUUAAUAGAUAACGCGGAGGGACAGUACCUGACAAACAAGCCCCGGCUAAUUUCGUGCCAGCCGCAGC